UACGGAGGGUGCGAGCGUUAAUCGGAAUUACUGGGCGUAAAGCGCACGCAGGCGGUUUGUUAAGCUAGAUGUGAAAGCCCCGGGCUCAACCUGGGAUGGUCAUUUAGAACUGACAGACUAGAGUCUUGGAGAGGGGAGUGGAAUUCCAGGUGUAGCGGUGAAAUGCGUAGAUAUCUGGAGGAACAUCAGUGGCGAAGGCGACUCCCUGGCCAAAGACUGACGCUCAUGUGCGAAAGUGUGGGUAGCGAACAGC
RNAcentral lists this ribosomal RNA (253 nucleotides) under uncultured bacterium. Its description in RNAcentral is "partial 16S ribosomal RNA". It matches the Rfam family "Bacterial small subunit ribosomal RNA", at positions 524 to 776 of the family's 1533-position model. The record is from RNAcentral.